Molecule: long non-coding RNA, 376 nt
Filed under: Pan troglodytes (chimpanzee)
Lineage: Eukaryota; Metazoa; Chordata; Mammalia; Primates; Hominidae
Description: lincRNA
Source: RNAcentral
AGAGAUGUGAAAACUGGAAGAGAAACAGGAAGUACCUCCAGGAUUCGCCUAAAUAGAUGCUGCGGUUUCCAUCAAACCACAGGCCACCCCAGUAUCUCAGUGGCUUCUAUAGGUUGUCCUGAAAGAGCCAUGAGGCCAGACACCAAUUCCACCCUCCACCUUUCUGUGUCCGUCCCAGACCAAGGCAGCCCAGGACUGGUAUCCUUCUAAGAAGAGGAAGGCACAUCAGAGGAGAGGCCAUGUGAGGACACCAUGGGAAGGCAGCCACCUGCAAGCCAAGGAGAGGGGCCUCGGGAGAAACCAGCCCUGCUGACACCCUGAGCUCCUUGCAAUUCCAGCCUCCUAGACUGUGAGAAAAUACACUUGUGUUAUUUAA